AUACGUAGGGGACGAGCGUUGUCCGGAAUUACUGGGCGUAAAGGGCGCGCAGGCGGUAUAUCAAGUCAGCUGUCAAAGACUGGGGCUCAACCCUGGUAUGCGGUUGAAACUGAUAUGCUGGAGUGCUGUAGAGGCAAGUGGAAUUCCCAGUGUAGCGGUGAAAUGCGUAGAUAUUGGUAAGAACACCGGUAGCGAAGGCGCCCAGCUGGGCAGCAAAAGACCCGGAGGCGCGAAAGCCAUGGGAGCAAACGGGAUUAGAUACCCCGGUAGUACUGGCCGUAAACGAUGAAUGCUAGGUGCGUGUGUAGAGAUCCAUGCGUGCCGGAGUUAACGCGAUAAGCAUUCCGCCUGGGGAGUCCGGUAGUACGAUUGCAACUCAAAUGAAUCGACGGGG
RNAcentral lists this ribosomal RNA (394 nucleotides) under uncultured bacterium. RNAcentral's name for it is "partial 16S ribosomal RNA". It matches the Rfam family "Bacterial small subunit ribosomal RNA", at positions 523 to 918 of the family's 1533-position model. The record is from RNAcentral.